CCGAGUUUACAAACUCCCAAACCCUUUGUGAACCUUACCAGUAUCGUUGCUUCGGCGGGACCGCCCCGGCGCCCUCGCGGCCCGGAACCAGGCGCCCGCCGGAGGCCCCAAACCUCUUAUGUCUUUAGUGGUUUUCUCCUCUGAGUGACACAUAAACAAAUAAAUAA
RNAcentral lists this unclassified non-coding RNA (167 nucleotides) under soil metagenome. Its description in RNAcentral is "partial internal transcribed spacer 1". The record is from RNAcentral.